UGGGGAAUAUUGCACAAUGGGCGCAAGCCUGAUGCAGCCAUGCCGCGUGUGUGAAGAAGGCCUUCGGGUUGUAAAGCACUUUCAGCGAGGAGGAAGGUGGUGAGCUUAAUACGCUCAUCAAUUGACGUUACUCGCAGAAGAAGCACCGGCUAACUCCGUGCCAGCAGCCGCGGUAAUACGGAGGGUGCAAGCGUUAAUCGGAAUUACUGGGCGUAAAGCGCACGCAGGCGGUUUGUUAAGUCAGAUGUGAAAUCCCCGGGCUCAACCUGGGAACUGCAUUUGAAACUGGCAAGCUAGAGUCUCGUAGAGGGGGGUAGAAUUCCAGGUGUAGCGGUGAAAUGCGUAGAGAUCUGGAGGAAUACCGGUGGCGAAGGCGGCCCCCUGGACGAAGACUGACGCUCAGGUGCGAAAGCGUGGGGCAGCAAACAGGAUUAGAUACCCUGGUAGUCCAGCGCUGUAAACGAUGUCGAUUUGGAGGUUGUGCCCUUGAGGCGUGGCUUCCGGAGCUAACGCGUUAAAUCGACCGCCUGGGGAGUACGGCCGCAAGGCUAAAAACUUAAAUGAAUUGACGGGGUCAUAGCUGUUUCCU
Molecule: ribosomal RNA, 589 nt
Filed under: uncultured bacterium
Lineage: Bacteria
Description: partial 16S ribosomal RNA
Rfam family: Bacterial small subunit ribosomal RNA
Source: RNAcentral